Saprospiraceae bacterium is the source of this 70-nucleotide regulatory RNA element. It matches the Rfam family "DUF805 RNA". NCBI's taxonomy places the organism in Bacteria, Pseudomonadati, Bacteroidota, Saprospiria, Saprospirales, Saprospiraceae. The record is from Rfam.
AAAAAGUGGAGACAAGAAAACCAUUAAAAAAACAGGGAGUAUUCUGAAAAUCCAAAAGAGUAGGAACAAA